RNAcentral lists this transfer RNA (76 nucleotides) under Mesorhizobium sp. M8A.F.Ca.ET.165.01.1.1. RNAcentral describes it as "tRNA-OTHER". It matches the Rfam family "tRNA". Rfam says of the family: Transfer RNA (tRNA) molecules are approximately 80 nucleotides in length. Their secondary structure includes four short double-helical elements and three loops (D, anti-codon, and T loops). The record is from RNAcentral. Lineage: Bacteria; Pseudomonadati; Pseudomonadota; Alphaproteobacteria; Hyphomicrobiales; Phyllobacteriaceae.
CCACGGAUAGCUCAGUUUGGUAGAGCAUCAGAUUAGGUUCUGAUUGUCGAAGGUUCGAAUCCUUCUCCAUUGGCCU